GCGGGGACACAGUGACGGUUGGAGGAGGAGAAGUUCAAAUAUGGCGGAGGUCCACCCGGAGGGACAGCGACCGCGAGCGGAUGGACAACCGGGACCGACAGAGCCUCAGAAGUGAAACGAUUCAAGUUUAGGAUGGAAGACAGGAAGAGGAAGCCAGCGAGGAUGAAAAGCGAGGAGAGCAAAAGGAAGACCUCACACAUCCCGUCAGGAUCAGCUGAGGAUGGAGGUGACCACGCAAGAGACGUGAUUGAAGGCAAAGGUUCAGCAAAUGGAGAGGGGGUCUGGUCAAAAAAGGAGGCGUCUCACUUGGUGAAAACCAAGACCUGAAAACAUCUAAACACGCUCAAAAUUGGAUGGCACUGCGGGUCACCCUUUCCCUAAUCGUAACGUUGUGAUUUUUCAUGCUGAGUUCUGUCAGAAACAGAGCAGAAGACAUCGAGGGCACCAUUGAGAUACAUCAGGCGCAUGGUCUGCAUGCAGCGUAAAUUCUUCAUCCCAGAAGAGUGUGUCAGCGAUCUACCACAUAUAAGAACAAGAAUUAGGAGCAGGAGUAGGCCAUUCGGCCCCUCGAGCCUGCCCUGGCAUUCGACAAGAUCAUGGCUGAUCUUCAGCCCUAACUCUAAUUAUCUGUUCUAUCCCCUAAACUCUCUAUUUUUAAAAAAAUCUUUCAGUCUCUGCCGUGAAGAUCUUCACGUAUUGUACUGUAGCAGAAAAGGGGUUUAUGCAAACAGGAACGUCUCCAGCAAUCGAUCUUAGUAGAGUUAUUGUACCAAUGUACCGAAUGCUAAAAGAAUUUCACAACGUCAAACUGCACCAGCCAUCACACCCAGGAGAGAGACCCUAUAACAGUGCCGAAUGUGGAAAGACAUCCACACGUUUCGAGCUUCUACAGAUACACCAUCGAACGCACAGGAGAGAGACCGAAUCACCGUGCUGACUGUGGUUGAGUUUCACACGUUCAUGGCAGCUCCAGAGACACCAUCGAUCACACCCAGGAGCGAAUGUAUAUGUUUCCCGAUUGUGAAAAGUGUUUAAUAUCUUCAGAAGUCUCAAAGACAGCCAUCACACAGAGACGAGAGAAAGAAUAAAGUAACAACUUGUAAGCUGUACUUCCAAACAUACUAAAGAGGGCCCGUGGGAGAGACUGUGUUAAUGUCUUGAAUGUGGGAAGAGAUUUGCUGUUUCCAGCAGACGAAAUUUCAGAAAUGCCUUGAAAGACCGUUACUAUCGGAAAGGUUUCCAGAAGACGCUGCUGUUCGCAGCCAACAAGAGAAGCUGCUGUGAGACAAACAAGAACAUUACAAUUGUGAGGAAGAGGAUAUAUAUCCACUAGAUCCAACAGCGACUCAUAGUUGACGCACAAGUACGGCAGUUGGUCCCCAUUUCUCCUGACCAUGUGCUGGAGCGCCACGAUCUACUGAAGUACCUAACACACGUGGCUGUUGUGCCCAUGUGAGCUAUCACCAGGAUGUGUGCCUCCUGCCGAAUAUAACAGAAUGGCACGGUGAGAAAUCAGAAGUGUGACCCCACUUAACUCGAGUUGCGACCUCCACCGUCACUGCUAACAUCAAGACUCGAGCUUGGAGCCGACCGGUGUGACUAGAGUGAGCCGACACCAGAGUGGGAUGGAAUUGGGGUAUUUUUGAUGAGAAAUCCCCGGUUUCAAGCCGAGUAUUAUCUUCGCUAUAAAACGAAGCUCAUUGGCAGCCUGUAACACAAGGAGAAAGAGAGGGCGAGAGAAAUAGACAGAAGAAUGACGGCACUGCAGCGCAUAGUCGAAUAUGAUCUGCGUCAGGAGGUGGGAGUGGCCCACACGAGGCAACCUGAAACCCCAAAGCCUCAGGAGGCGGUGAAGUUGACGGCCGUUCACCUCCACCCUGGGGUGUCUGACCCGCUGGCCUCCAGCGCCCGCAAAUCUCUCCCUGACAUCACUGUCUGUGUGCAGACCUGCGAAGGGAAGCAGAGGGCUCUGCAGCUUCCAAUGCAUCUGAGAGUCUACGAGCUGAAGAAGGCCAUAUCCAGGGAAAUGGGAAUCCCGGUACAAUCCCAGAUCCUCUACUGGAAAUCUUCGGAGCUGAAGAAAAUGAAGAAGCUUUGCGACAUUACCAUGAAGGAUAGCAUUUGCGUCACUGUGGUGCAAAAGUGCCUCGGAGGCUGAUGUGUGGAGACUGAAUCUCUCACUUCCCUAUCCUGUUUGUGCUCGCUUUCCGCACACUGGAGAUUUCUCCUCUAACCCCAUUCCCCGGCUCUCUCUGUCUGCACUUGUGCUCGGUACCCCGCACUGGAGCUGUAUUCUCUAACCACAUUCCCCAGCUCACUGCGUCUCCCUCUCUGUCAUGUUUUUGCUAAUGAUGGCGACAAUAAAUUGUGUUUGACACUUAUGCUGUUGGCAGAUUUUCUCGAUGCUUGUUAUGUGCCGUGAUUAACAAGGAUUAAAUAUGUGAAAAUAGAAGAUA
Molecule: long non-coding RNA, 2456 nt
Organism: Callorhinchus milii (elephant shark)
Lineage: Eukaryota; Metazoa; Chordata; Chondrichthyes; Chimaeriformes; Callorhinchidae
Exons: 6
Source: RefSeq, a predicted model, not a curated record